Molecule: ribosomal RNA, 486 nt
Filed under: uncultured bacterium
Lineage: Bacteria
Description: partial 16S ribosomal RNA
Rfam family: Bacterial small subunit ribosomal RNA
Source: RNAcentral
AUUGAACGCUGGCGGCAUGCCUUACACAUGCAAGUCGAACGGCAGCACGGGUGCUUGCCCCUGGUGGCGAGUGGCGAACGGGUGAGUAAUACAUCGGAACAUGUCCUGUAGUGGGGGAUAGCCCGGCGAAAGCCGGAUUAAUACCGCAUACGAUCUACGGAUGAAAGCGGGGGACCUUCGGGCCUCGCGCUAUAGGGUUGGCCGAUGGCUGAUUAGCUAGUUGGUGGGGUAAAGGCCUACCAAGGCGACGAUCAGUAGUUGGUCUGAGAGGACGACCAGCCACACUGGGACUGAGACACGGCCCAGACUCCUACGGGAGGCAGCAGUGGGGAAUUUUGGACAAUGGGCGAAAGCCUGAUCCAGCAAUGCCGCGUGUGUGAAGAAGGCCUUCGGGUUGUAAAGCACUUUUGUCCGGAAAGAAAUCCUUGGCCCUAAUACGGUCGGGGGAUGACGGUACCGGAAGAAUAAGCACCGGCUAACUACGUG